UCCUGUCUUUCCUUGUUGGAGC
This 22-nucleotide microRNA is filed under the name Homo sapiens (human). Its description in RNAcentral is "hsa-miR-5699-3p". The record is from miRBase by way of RNAcentral. Lineage: Eukaryota; Metazoa; Chordata; Mammalia; Primates; Hominidae.